ACGCUGGAGAUAAUGAUGGUUACAAGCACAUAUCUGAAUGCAUUUUAUGUGGAAUUACUGGUUGUCUGAAUCUCCAAUGG
Gadus morhua (Atlantic cod) is the source of this 80-nucleotide small nucleolar RNA. Ensembl annotates it as small nucleolar RNA SNORD121A. NCBI's taxonomy places the organism in Eukaryota, Metazoa, Chordata, Actinopteri, Gadiformes, Gadidae. The record is from Ensembl.